RNAcentral lists this long non-coding RNA (1594 nucleotides) under Sus scrofa (pig). Its description in RNAcentral is "lncRNA (ENSSSCG00025067149.1)". The record is from RNAcentral. Lineage: Eukaryota; Metazoa; Chordata; Mammalia; Artiodactyla; Suidae.
AGAAAGGAGGAGAGUGAGAGGUGAAUCCGAGCGGGACGGACGCUCCCAAAAGGGAACUGCGGAGGAGAAAGGGAUCCCACACCCUGGAAAGUCACCUACACGGGGGAAAGAUCAAAUGAACCGGAGGAAUCUCCAGAUGCAGAGAAGAUUGAUCUCUUAAAAUUUAUUUUCCAGACACACUGUCCCACCUGGAUAGACUGCCGGCAACUCCUUUUUACUCUGACACUGAAGAGCGCUGGAAAAUUGUAACAGAAGCCCAAAAAUGGCUUCAGGCCAAGGUGGGGGGUUGAGCAGACUUGGCAAACUGGGUAAGGGACGCCUUCCCAGAAGAAAACCCCCACUGGGACUAUGACACUGAAGAAGGGAAACAUAACCUACAGAGGUACCGGCAGGCCUUCCUGCAGGGGGCAAAAGCUGGGGCUAAAAGGCCUACUAAUAUAGCUAAGACCAGUGAGAUACCACAAGAGCCGAAUGAAAGCCCAAAUUCUAUGAGAGACUAUGUGAGGCUUUCCGAAUCUACACCCCUUUUGAUCCCGAGGCCCCUGAGAACCAACGGAUGAUAAAUGCUGCCUUUGUGGGACAAGCCCAAUCAGAUAUGUGUAAAAAGCUACAGAAAUUAGAAGGAAGACAGGAUUAAGAUGGCGGAAAAGAAGGACUGGAGCUCAAUUUCUCUCCUAAAAACAACAAAAUUCACAACUAAAGGCUGAGCACUCUCCACCCACAUGGAUUGGAAACCUUAAAAAAAAUACCCUACUCCAGAAGAAAAAGAGGAGGCCACAUCAAGAGGUAGGAGGGGUGAUUUCGCGAUAUAAACAACCCCAUGCCUCCUGGGUAGGAAGCUCCAUAGACUGGAAACUAACUGGUUCACAGAGACUCACCUACAGGAGGGAGAGGUCUGAGCCCCACAUCAAACCCUCACGUGUGGGGAUCCGGCACUGAGAGAAAGAGCCCCAGAGCAUCUGGCAUUGAAGGCCAGUGGGGCUUGUGCACAGGAGCUCCACAGGACUGGGGGAAAUGGAGACCCCAUUCUUAAAAGGCGCACACAGACUUUCACGUGCACUGAGUCCCAGGGCAGAGCAAGGUCUCCACAGGAACCUGGAUCAAAUCUGACUACAGUUCUUGCAGGACAUCCUGGGAAAACAGGGGUGACUGUGGCUUGUUGUGAGGGAAGGACACUGAAGGCAAAGCUCUCGGGAAUAUUCAGCAGCUGCCAUUCUCUGGAGGUGGCCAUUUUGGGAAAAUCUGGCCCCACCCGUCAGUCAGCCCCUGAGAAGCCCCAGAGCAAACAACAACUCAGGUGGGAUCACAGCCCCACCCAUCAGUAAACAGGUACCUAAAGACCCCUCAGGCACACAGCUGCCUGGAAUCCCAUCCAGAGACUAAGCCCCACCCACCAGAGGGAUUGGAAUCGGCUCCUCCUAUCAGGGGGCAGGCAUCAGCCCCUCCCAUCAGGAAGCCUACAGCAAGCCCCCAAUACUGACUUCAGCCAAAAGGGAGGCAGACACCAGAAGGAAGAGAGGCUACAACUCUAUUAUCUGUAAAAAGGUCACCACACCAAAAACCUAUAAAAAUGAGAACUAUAACUCAGAUGAGG